AUGGCACAAGGCGAAUGCCACUGCUCGUGGUCGUCGUUCAUGAAGCUUGUCGGAUUCUUUGUGCUGUUUUUCGGUUGCACGGCAGCGGUACUAUUUCUUAUUCUGUGGCCAAUGGUGUCGUCACGAGGCCCCGAGUACACCGUGGCCAUCACCAGCGUCGACGGCCUGGACCCGGCCCGGGAUCUCCAUGGCGACCGGCUGGCGCUCAGCCCGGUGUUCGGCAUCACCGUGCACGUCGACAACACCCGCGAGAAGGUCCUCCGGGCGUGCGUCGGCGUGGACUCCUUCGCGGUCGUGUCGUACGGGGACGUGCUGCUCGGCAGGGGCAGCGUGCCGUCGUUCUGCGCCGAGAAAUUAGGGGUGUGCGAGGUCGCCGCCACGGCGUGGGGCAUGGACGUGCACCUGCCUCACUUCCUGCGGGACCGGCUGGCCGGCGAGCUGGAGAGGGGCCAGGUGGUGGUGGACGUGACGGUGAGGAGCCCCGGGGGCGACGGGUGUUACAUCAACGGAUGCCUGGACAAGGUGAUUAUCUGCAAGGCCAAGAUCGGAGGGGGUCCAUCCCGGUGUUUUGUUACGGAGACUGCCAGCGGCACUACUACGAAGGGAUAG
RNAcentral lists this ribosomal RNA (609 nucleotides) under Triticum aestivum (bread wheat). Its description in RNAcentral is "partial small subunit ribosomal RNA". The record is from RNAcentral. Lineage: Eukaryota; Viridiplantae; Streptophyta; Magnoliopsida; Poales; Poaceae.